GCAAGGAAUAGUAGGCAAUGGGGGAAACCCUGACCUCGCGACGCCGCGUGAGGGAUGAAGGCUUUCGGGUUGUAAACCUCUUUUCUCAGGGAUGAAUAAUGACAGUACCUGAGGAAUAAGUCACGGCUAACUACGUGCCAGCAGCCGCGGUAAAACGUAGGUGGCGAACGUUAUCCGGAUUCACUGGGCGUAAAGAGUGCGUAGGCGGCCUUAUAAGUCGGAUGUAAAAUUUCUCGGCUCAACCGGGAGGGACCAUCCGAUACUGUCUGGCUAGAGUGCAUCAGAGGAGAGUGGAAUUCCCGGUGUAGUGGUGGAAUGCGUAGAUAUCGGGAGGAACACCAGUGGCGAAAGCGGCUCUCUGGGAUGUUACUGACGCUGUUGCACGAAAGCGUGGGGAGCAAACAGGAUUAGAUACCCGAGUAGUCC
This 426-nucleotide ribosomal RNA is filed under the name uncultured bacterium. Its description in RNAcentral is "bacterial SSU rRNA". It matches the Rfam family "Bacterial small subunit ribosomal RNA", at positions 354 to 796 of the family's 1533-position model. The record is from RNAcentral.